Molecule: long non-coding RNA, 3041 nt
Organism: Triticum aestivum (bread wheat)
Lineage: Eukaryota; Viridiplantae; Streptophyta; Magnoliopsida; Poales; Poaceae
Exons: 2
Source: RefSeq, a predicted model, not a curated record
CCAGAUUAGCCUCAUUCCCACUCACCUCUCGAUUGGAGCCUAGAGCAGUUCUCCACCCAGAUCCCGUCUCUCACCCGUUGUGGCAGCGACCGACAGCACUCGGCAAGUUACGGUGCUAGGUCAGUGCCUCCUUUCCUCUGUCUCCCCGGGACUUCCUUUCUCCCCUCGCCUUGAUCUCUUUUUUUUUGUAUUCAUGCGGUAAAGUAUGGCGACUGGUGGUGGGGAAAACGGCGAGGGCUACGCAUGCUGUUGUGGGAGCGGCGGCAGCACGGGCUGAUGGGCGAGCGGGGGGCAGGGGCGCAAGGCUGAUGGCUGAGCGGUGGGGCGUGCUAAUGGGCGGCCGGCGCCGUGGGCUGAUGUUCUGGGUAAAGGAGGCGAGAGAUCCACAUCUCUAGUUGAACAGCCGCCCGAGGAAAGGUCUUCUCCCUACCCAGCCAGAAGUUUGAUCCUUCCAAUCGAAGAGGUACCGUAUCAGGUAUCACCAUAAUCAAAUCCCAUCCAUCUGCUUUUUCUUAAUUCAGACAUGCUGGAGUACAUAUGUUUCCAUUCAUCUGGAUUUUCUACGAAUCAUUGUCAAAGCAGAUCCCAUCCACCGGUGAGAUGGCCAAAUUUUGGUAGUUGCACUUACGUACCACCUCUUUGGUUCCAUCGUACCAAUUACUCACCAGUAAUUUUGGAGUAGUACUUAUCUGCAAUCUAAGAUUUUUUUUUUGCGGGUAGAAAACUUGUAUUACUCAUGGCUCAUCAUACAGUCCUCCUUACAAAAAUCAACGACUUCUGGGGGGCCUGAACCCAUCCAGACUAAGGUUCUAUGUUCAGUUCUAGCAGAUUUUGCUAAAAAAUCACUAGCCACAUUUUGACUUCGACCAAUAUGAGUAACACAAGUCCGACGAAGAGACAUCAAAUGUUUGAUCUCUGCAACCAACAAAGCAUAAACAGACCUAUCUGUUCCUAUUCCAUUCACCAAGUUAACCGCUGACAGCGAAUCCAUCUCCAUGUGUAUUGGCAAGUCCGAUCUCUGGAUUGAAAUUGAUAAACCCUCCAUGACCGCACAUAGUUCAGAUUCUAGUGUGUCUCGACAUUGGAAGAGUUGGCGACAGGACGAGAAAAUGAUGUUGGCCAGAUGAUCUCUUAAUAACAUACCAGCUCUUGCACUUCCUUCCUCCGUCCAUGAUCCAUCCGUGUUUAGUUUCGCCCAGCCCGCCAAAGGAGGAGACCAUUUAACAGUGGGUGCCUUGCUGGAAAUAGCCUGAAACGGUACUGUUCUAGUACUCAAAGAGACCACUUCUUUACCUUUGCAUGAUCCAUGGGUCGUUCUCUGUAUUGAAAAAAUCAGAGAAUCCAAAUAUUCACAGAGAAAAUGGCGAGAGGCGGUCAUCGGGGCCGGAGUUUUGUUGUGCACCACCUCGUUCCUGUUAUGCCAGCAGCGCCACAGAGUCAACAGCAACUUUGCACGAUCCAUCUCCCCUAGUGGAUGUAGAGCAUCAAGCAGCCACUCAACACCAGUAUUCACUGUCACCUUUUGCUUGGGCAGUUGCCAAACUUCAGACAUGCAGUCCCAUAGUUGGGUAGCUAGUGGGCAUCGACAGAGAGCAUGGAAACAAUCUUCAGUUUCCCUAUCACACACUGGACACAUAUUCGACACCUCCAGAUUUCUCUUCUCCUUAUUCUUCCAUGUAGGCAAGGAGUUUACAGCAGCUCUCCAGGCAAAAAAAUUUAUAGACGGCGGGACAAAGCUCCCCCAUAUCAUCUUCCAACACGCUCGACGGCCAUCAGGAGCAGCGCUGGAAGCUUGUGCAUUUCCUCUAGUAACUGCAUCAAAGGCCAAGUCAUAAGCAGACUUUACUGAGAAAACGCCCAGCCUACCAGGUCCUAGUCUGAUUGAUUCUGAAUGUCAAAUCCUUGCUAGCUAGGAUGUCAAAUAUGUACGAUUCACACAACUAUGCUGGCAAAACUACUACAUAAGAAUAGUAGUACUAGUUUAGCUUCGUACAACUACUUGUUCCAAGACAUUCUAGUAUCUUGUGGGUGUGUUAUGUUUGCUGGCCCUGGUGCAUAUCUUUGGGUCGAGAAAUGUGUGUGUAGGUCAGGGGGAAAAGGCAUCAAUUGAGGCAAUGAACUGACACAUAUGACCCGUGGAAUGGUGUAUUUCCUAAUGGAUUGUUCUUUUCAAUUCUAUAUAUCUACAAUAAGAUCUUACCAUGAUAUUUUCUCAAAGUUGUGUCGAUUUAAUGGUACAUAUCCAGAUUUUUCUUUAACUGAUGGUAGAUUUGCCAUCUUAUCUUGUUCCUGAAUCAUGUUGUAUGUGUCGCCUUGGCAUUUUAGUUCUCCAUAUAAUGAUUUAUGAACACACAGGCAUUGAUGUGGAUUUUAGAUUUAUUUACUCUUUACUUUAAGUUGAUAAACCAUUCCUCUUGGUUACCUUGUAGAGUUGAUUACUAAAGCAAGUUAUCACAAAUAGCAGUGAAUUGUAUUCAAAGAUCUAGAAGUACUAGUCUGUAUAACCCUGUGCAUAAAAGGUGCAAAACAAUAGUCAUUUUAUUUUUGUUCAUUUUUACUUUUCAGUUUCCAUUUGCAAGACGUAUGGUUGGAAAAGGAUUGAAGUACUGGUGUAACACUAAUAAUUCUUACUAAGAUGUGAUUUCUAUGUCAAUGUGUAGAUGAUUCCUGAACAAUUUCUUAGGUAUUGGUAAGUCAUAUUGGAGAUAAAUUGAGUUGUGAUAAUGCUAUGAUACUAAUGAUGACAAUGGUACCUAUGGCAAUGUGGGAGAUUAUAUAUAUGGCGAUGGGCAUUACGAUCAAGACGACGAUAAUUGUGAUGAGUCCGAUGAUCUUCGAGUCCUGCAACCAAGUGAAGUUAUGAAGUUCAUGGACAAUUUAGCUUAUGCACAAUGUUUGGACCAUUAUAUCUUAGUCACUAUUUUGUUUUUCAUUUGACACUUCUUAGAUGCGUCAGUAUGGCCAAUGUAAUAUUGAUUCAACUCAUUAGACAUGUUAUACUUCUUGUUGUUAUGCUAAAUAAAAUAUAUUUUCUUUGAUCA